Aedes albopictus (Asian tiger mosquito) is the source of this 1280-nucleotide long non-coding RNA. RefSeq lists it as uncharacterized. The record is from RefSeq and is a predicted model, not a curated record. NCBI's taxonomy places the organism in Eukaryota, Metazoa, Arthropoda, Insecta, Diptera, Culicidae. The transcript is spliced from 2 exons.
UCCAAAAAAUCCAAACAUCAAGGCUACCUGAAAAAUCACGUAGACCAAAAACAAAUGAACUUUUUGAGAAUUUACCUGACCAACAUAACAGUCACCGGAACAUCGAUCGAACUUAAAUGCACCGCUAGUUGUGUUUACUGCGCUUCAAUAUACCCCUUACGUGAAAACUACGUACAACCCUGAAUUCAUUAUGACCGCUGAAUAUUAUAUUCACUCCUCCGUUCAUUCUGUGCUGUGCUCGCGUUUCAAGAUGGCGUCUUUUGAAAACAGUCUACGAGAGUUGCUAGCGUAUUUAGACAUUUCGGACCAUUUGCUGGAAAUAUUUGAUGAUAAAUUGAAUAAAAUCAAAGGUAUGUUUCAUAAUAGUUCGAAUUUGAUCCUUUAAACAGAAUGCGGAGGUUAUUUUACCAGUUUGUUGACAAUUUCUGCGGAUCAAACCCGCACAUCAUUGGAGCCGACGCAAAGAACUUGGAAAUAUGCGGUUUUGUUCGGAAUUAUUUCGUUUUGGCGAACAAGAAACGAAUCCGUUUCGGCAUUACCGGCGGGUUACCGAUUGCGGCUGACUGGCAAAGUUUGUUUUGAUCCACAUUCGCUUGCAUGAUGCAAGUUGCAUCUAUCCAGCUCCCACCACACCGAUCUACUUCGCCGCACCAAUCUACUCCUGACAAAAUUGCUGCUCAUGAGCCAUCCACUUCUUCGGCGGUGGUGGAACCAAGAACUGGACAGCCGCAUUCCGAAACUAUUUCACCAGUCUUUGUUGAUAGCAUUUCCAGCUUUUCGAGUAUCGAAGAAAAGCAGAGUGAACGCGAAAAUCGAAUGCAAGAGGCAAGUUGAUUUGUGUUGUAAAUGUUACAAAGGCAUUUAUUUGUUUUGUUUCUUUCCCUACAGGAUUCUGAAACUUAUCUGUUUUUCUUCAAGACCGGAUCCGGAACACACUAUGGAAGCUGCCUCAGUCGCCAUCCAAUUGACUGAUACAACGAAUAGUUGUUAUCCAGCCGACAGGCAAACUGAUAAAUUCCGCCUACCCAAAGUGAGAGCGCGAAUAAGCAGUCUCGUAGUUUCAACUAGCUUCGACUUCUUCUGAUUCCACUGCAUCGGAACAUAUACUGAUAAUGCUACUCGCAUGUGGAUGCAUCAGCAGCUGCUUGCUCUGACGGAACCGAAGGAGGAUUGCCAACCACCGUCAAUAUACCGGACGGCACCUUCCUAUGUGUCAGUGAACCCUGAAAGCGUCUUGGAAGUAGCAGAGCCAAACAAAUAAAUAUUCCAUUAUAGUAUCA